Molecule: long non-coding RNA, 620 nt
Organism: Sapajus apella (tufted capuchin)
Lineage: Eukaryota; Metazoa; Chordata; Mammalia; Primates; Cebidae
Exons: 3
Source: RefSeq, a predicted model, not a curated record
CAGGCAUGCGCGCUCCCUUCUGGGCCAGCGGUUGCGAGGCGCCGGGCGCCAGCCGUUAGCUGUUUCGGUUUGCGCGUAAACGGCGAGUCUGGCUACCCAACGCAGGAUUUCCAGCGGGGGCGCACAAACCUCGGGAGGGAAGUUGGAAGCCGCAGCUACUGUAAAGGCAGCCGCAGGCUGGCUAAAGCGGUCUCUGGUUCGGAAACCGAGGCCUGAGUGCUCGGGCUCCACCUGACCUGGUUCAGCGCGUGACCCACGCAGCUCUGGAUUCCAGGCAGGAAGCUCGAGGGUCAGGGAGAGCACCUCUGCCGGUGAAUUAUUCAUCCCCUAUUGAGUUAUCGUGACGCCCUGUGGCUUUGGGAAACCUCUCCACAACCAAGUGGAGCCACAGCUCUCCGCCAACGAAGUUAAAAAAACAAUGUCUAACCCAGCAAUGAGCUUUUGAGGGUAUGUCUCAUUUUCAAAGGAAUAUGAGAUCAUUGAGUUGGACCCAGAGAAACAACUCAUAGAAAACUUCCAUUAAUGAGAACCCAAAAGCUGAUGGCCAGACAAAAGGAUGAGAGGAAAUGCUGGACCUCCAGUUUCUUAAUGGCUCAGGUUCUUUUUGUUUUGUUUUGUUU